GACGAACCGUGCAAACGUUGUUCGGAAUCACUGGGCUUAAAGGGCGCGUAGGCGGGCAUUUAAGUCAGGGGUGAAAUCCCCCAGCUCAACUGGGGAACUGCCUUUGAUACUGGGUGCCUCGAGUGAGGUAGGGGCGUGCGGAACUGAUGGUGGAGCGGUGAAAUGUGUUGAUAUCAUCAGGAACUCCGGUGGCGAAAGCGGCGCGCUGGACCUCAACUGACGCUGAUGCGCGAAAGCCAGGGGAGCAAACGGG
This 253-nucleotide ribosomal RNA is filed under the name uncultured bacterium. RNAcentral describes it as "partial 16S ribosomal RNA". It matches the Rfam family "Bacterial small subunit ribosomal RNA", at positions 524 to 776 of the family's 1533-position model. The record is from RNAcentral.